Molecule: non-coding RNA, 28 nt
Filed under: Mus musculus (house mouse)
Lineage: Eukaryota; Metazoa; Chordata; Mammalia; Rodentia; Muridae
Source: RNAcentral
UGUAAUGGAAUUCUGGCAUUUUUGUCUC